GGCUAUGUAGUUUAGAUAAGACGUCAGGCUGCAAUCCUGAAGAUGUAAUUGUACCUUAGCUU
RNAcentral lists this transfer RNA (62 nucleotides) under Macrobrachium nipponense. RNAcentral describes it as "tRNA-Cys". It matches the Rfam family "tRNA". From Rfam's summary of the family: Transfer RNA (tRNA) molecules are approximately 80 nucleotides in length. Their secondary structure includes four short double-helical elements and three loops (D, anti-codon, and T loops). The record is from RNAcentral. Lineage: Eukaryota; Metazoa; Arthropoda; Malacostraca; Decapoda; Palaemonidae. RNAcentral also lists the same sequence under 1 other name.